UAACACCCUUUUCACCGUGGUUCUGC
This 26-nucleotide non-coding RNA is filed under the name Bombyx mori (domestic silkworm). Lineage: Eukaryota; Metazoa; Arthropoda; Insecta; Lepidoptera; Bombycidae. The record is from RNAcentral.